This 467-nucleotide ribosomal RNA is filed under the name uncultured Sphingobacteriales bacterium. Its description in RNAcentral is "bacterial SSU rRNA". It matches the Rfam family "Bacterial small subunit ribosomal RNA", at positions 915 to 1382 of the family's 1533-position model. The record is from RNAcentral. Lineage: Bacteria; Pseudomonadati; Bacteroidota; Sphingobacteriia; Sphingobacteriales.
GGGGGCCCGCACAAGCGGAGGAGCAUGUGGUUUAAUUCGAUGAUACGCGAGGAACCUUACCGUGGGCUUGAAAGUUAGUGACAUUCUGUGAAAGCAGAACUUCCGCAAGGACACGAAACUAGGUGCUGCAUGGCUGUCGUCAGCUCGUGCCGUGAGGUGUUGGGUUAAGUCCCGUAACGAGCGCAACCCCUAUCAUUAGUUGCCAUCAGGUCAUGCUGGGGACUCUAAUGAGACUGCCCGCGCAAGCGGUGAGGAAGGUGGGGACGACGUCAAGUCAUCACGGCCCUUACGUCCAGGGCUACACACGUGCUACAAUGGUAGAUACAGCAGGUUGCCACAUGGUAACAUGGAGCUAAUCCCAAAAGUCUAUCUCAGUUCGGAUUGAGGUCUGCAACUCGACCUCAUGAAGCUGGAUUCGCUAGUAAUCGAAAAUCAGCAAUGUUUCGGUGAAUACGUUCCCGGGCCUU